Molecule: small nuclear RNA, 107 nt
Organism: Nycticebus coucang (slow loris)
Lineage: Eukaryota; Metazoa; Chordata; Mammalia; Primates; Lorisidae
Source: RefSeq, a predicted model, not a curated record
GUGCUUGUUUCAGCAGCACAUAUACUAAAAUUGGAAUGAUACAGAGAAGAUUAGCAUGGCCCCUGUGCAAGGACAACACGCAAAUUUGUGAACCGUUCCAUAUUUUU